GAGUUCGCGGGAGAGUAAGUUAUUGCCAGGGUUUUUAUUUUAUACUUUAAACCUUGAAUUUAUUUUUUAAAUGUUUAUAUUAUUUGAAUAAAACAUUCAAAUAAUAUAAAAAAUAAUAUAUAUAUUGACAUGGAUUAAACAAAGAUAUAUAUUAUUCUAUGUUGCAUAAACAAAUUGGCAAAAUAGAGAUGGAAGAUAAAAAUAUGGUCAAAGUAAUAAGAGUCUAUGGUGAAUGCC
This 237-nucleotide unclassified non-coding RNA is filed under the name Borreliella afzelii. Its description in RNAcentral is "partial 5S-23S ribosomal RNA intergenic spacer". Lineage: Bacteria; Pseudomonadati; Spirochaetota; Spirochaetia; Spirochaetales; Borreliaceae. The record is from RNAcentral.